UUUAACUCAAGUGGCGGACGGGUAAGUAACACGUGAGAAUUUACCUUUAGGAGGGGGAUAACAAUUGGAAACGAUUGCUAAUACCCCAUAUGCUUGAGAGUGAAAUAGAUUUAUCUGCCUAAAGAAAAGCUCGCGGCUGAUUAGCUAGUUGGUAAGGUAAUGGCUUACCAAGGCGACGAUCAGUAUCUGGUUUGAGAGGACGAUCAGACACACUGGAACUGAGACACGGUCCAGACUCCUACGGGAGGCAGCAGUGGGGAAUUUUCCGCAAUGGGCGAAAGCCUGACGGAGCAAUACCGCGUGAGGGAAGACUGCCUAUGGGUUGUAAACCUCUUUUUCCAGGGAGGAAUAACUGACGUGUACCUGAAGAAUAAGCAUCGGCUAACUCCGUGCCAGCAGCCGCGGUAAGACGGAGGAUGCAAGUGUUAUCCGGAAUCACUGGGCGUAAAGCGUCUGUAGGUGGUUUAAUAAGUCAACUGUUAAAUCUUGAAGCUCAACUUCAAAACCGCAGUCGAAACUAUUAGACUAGAGUAUAGUAGGGGUAAAGGGAA
RNAcentral lists this ribosomal RNA (551 nucleotides) under uncultured bacterium. Its description in RNAcentral is "bacterial SSU rRNA". It matches the Rfam family "Bacterial small subunit ribosomal RNA", at positions 85 to 666 of the family's 1533-position model. The record is from RNAcentral.